Molecule: long non-coding RNA, 3541 nt
Organism: Macaca fascicularis (crab-eating macaque)
Lineage: Eukaryota; Metazoa; Chordata; Mammalia; Primates; Cercopithecidae
Source: Ensembl
AAAUAUGGCUUUGAAGGUUUUAACAAGGGAUGGUAUAUAAAAAAUGGAAUUACAUGUCCAGAAAAUGCAAGCAGUCAUUGAAAGCAUCAUUAAAUCAAGUGCUCAAAUGGUAAUACAGCUUAACAUUUUUUCACAUAAGCAGCUGAAACAACAUGAGAACUCUCUAAAACGGUAGGGGCAAUCAUUCUGUAUCAGGCAUUUAACCCCCUAAGCCACGGAAAACCUGCAUAAUGGGGGCUUAAACUGACAGAAUUGUCAUUUUUAUCCAUCCAUGUUUGCAUCAUAAAUUGAAAGUAUUUUCCAACAGAUUAGGACAGGGCAGGGAAUCUGGAUCAUACUCUAUAAAAUAGCAAGACAAAGGACAGCAAGAAUACAUUCUCUAAUUUGGAAAUUCACAGGGGUUCUUAGAAUCUUUUCACGUUAGAGCGGGAUGAAUCUUAGAAAUCAGUUGUUUUAAUUUCUCUUUAGCUGCACAGAUUCUGCAAACUAAAACAAAUGAAAGAGGUACUGGAAAAGACUGACUGAGAUGUCCUCGUCCAUAGGUCACAAAACUCUGAGAAACAAAUUCUACCACAGAAACAUAAAACAGACUCGGGUGUCUAUAAUAAAACAAAGCUGGUGAAUCCUCAUUGUCUUACCUGAAAAGCUUUUUGUGAAGAAACAUUCCUUUUGAAUUUAAUAAGAUGGUCUUUUGAGUUUGUUUUUCGUAAACUCAAUAUAUUUCAAUAUUUCAUGUGGCAUGCUUGUUGCUACUCAACAAAAAAGAAUUUUUUUUUAUUAGACUUGAUCUUAGUUUAGAAAAUGAGUUUGAUGCAGGAAAUAAUGAAUAGAAGGGAGCAGUUGUCAAAAUGUAAUAGAAAGAUGGAUUUAUAAUACUCUCUAUUUUUGUUAACUUUGCUUAUUAAUUAGUAAUUCCUAACAGAUGUGGUAUGGAUUACUUAGGAAAAAGUGAUUCUAGUAAAGUAGCUUUUCUAACUGCAUAGAAACCUGAGAUGAGAAAGAGAGAGAUUGAGAGACACACACAGUCUUACGCUGCUGCCUGUGGCCAGGCAUCAGCAAGAAAAGUGUAGGUCACACUUUGAAUCAUCUGUGAGUUCCUGAUUUUCAAAGGGAGUAAUUGUUAUAUAGUGUAUUAGCCAGGGAUCUCCAGAGAAACAGAACCAAUGGCACAUAUAGAGAUAUUAAAAAAAAAGAAAAAAAGUGUUUUUCUUUUCUUCUUCUUUUUGAAACAGAGUCUUGCUCUGUUGCCUAGGCUGGAGUGCUGUGGGAUGAUCUCAGUUCAGUGCAACCUCCGCCUCUUGGGUUCAAACAAUUCUCCUGCCUCGGCCUCUUGAGUGGCUGUGAUCACAGGUGCCCAUCACCAUGCCUCACUAAUUUUUAUAUUUUUAGUAGGGACAGAGUUUUACCAUGUUGACCAGGCUGGUCUCCAACUCCUGACCUCAAGUAAUCUGCCUGCCUUGGCCUCCCAAAGUGUUGGGAUUACAGGCGUGAGCCACCACGCCUGGCCAGGAAAGGUUUAUUAUGAGGGAUUGGCUCAUGCGACUAUGGAGGCUGAAGAGUCCCACAAUCACCUGUUUGCAAGCUGAAGUCCCAGGAAAGCUGGUGGUAUAAUUCCAGUCCAAACUGGAAGGCCUGAGAUCCAGAGAAGCCGAUGGUAUAAGUCAUAGUCAUAGUCUGGAGGUCAGAGAAUCAGGAGUGCUGAUGUCCAAGGGAAGGAGAAAAUGGCUGAAUGGCUGUUCCUGGUUAGAGAGAGUGAAUUCUCCCUUUCUCUACCUUUUUGUUCCAUUUGGGCUGUCUACAGAUUGGAUGAGGAGCACUCACAUUGGUGAGGGCGAUUUUUACCCAGUCUACUGAUUCAAAUCUUAGUCUCUUCCAGAAAUACCCAGGCAUCCUUUACUGCAGUCAAGUUGACACAUAAAAUUAGCCAUCACACAUACAUUUAUGUGGUCAAGAGCGGGUGAGUAACUUUCCCUAAGUCCAAUAGUGGGAAUGGAAAUCAGGGGUUGGAAUGCUGGCAUUUCCCAACAUCAGACCUGGGCUCAGACACUCAGAAACUCACUUCUCCCCUCCUUCAUUCCAGGACUGAUUAUCUAGCAGAGCAUAUUCUACUUAGGCUUCAUAAACAAAGUCCUCCCUUUGCCCUUGCCCUUCUUUCUAGACUACACAGAAGGACUUUUACCCGGUGAGUUAAGUUCCACAAUCAGAGAGUGUGUUAAGUGUUUCACUGUGAGAGGGACAGGGACAGAAAAAGCCUGGCUUUUGAAAGUUCUCCCUCAAUUGGCUGUAGCGAUGGUUCUCCGUGAUACCCCAAGCCCUUUAAGGGGAGCCAUGAGGUCAAAACUAUUUUUAUGAUAACACCAAGAUGCUAUUUGCCUUUUUUACUGGGUUGACUUUGCGCUGAUGAUGCACUAGCCAUGAGGCGGGUGAAAAUGGCUGUACUUUAGGACAAGUCAAGGCAAUGGCUGGCAGCAAGCUGUGGUAGCCGUCAUUGUGCUCAUUGUCACACUCUGGCUUGUAAAAUAUGCUAGUGUCACUUAAGAAUGCCCUUAGGAAGCAGUAGAAAUUAAUUGUAUUAGUCUUGAUCCUCGGUUACAGGUCUUUUGAGUAUUUUCACACAAUGGGAAGUACACAUAAAGCACCUCUGCUGCUUAUAUUAAUGUAAGUGCCAUGGUGGGCGGGAAGAAGACCACUGUGUGGUUGUUGAGUUGUGAGCUAAACUCGUUGCUUUGUUCGAGGAGCACCAUUUUACUUGACAGAAUGACUGACAGGCAAACUGUGGUCAUUCACAGUUGGCUACAUGGCAGAGGUUUUCUUGAAAAGAACUAAGUGAAGUUGUCAUCUCAAGGAAAAUAACUGACAGUAUUUGUUGCCAAUGAUACAAUUCAAGCUUUCAAGUGAAAAUUAGAUGUUUUAAAAACUUCAAUCUUCAGCCAGGCGUGGUGGUUCCUGCUUGUAAUCCCAGUGCUUUAGAAGGCCAAGGCGAGUGGAUUGCUUGAGCCCAGGAGUUCCAGACUGGCCUGGGCAACAUAGCAAGACCCUGUCUCUACAAAAAAUGCAAAAAUUAGCUGGGCAUGGUGGUGUGUGCCUGUAGUCCCAGCUAUGCGGGAGGCUGAGAUGGGAGGAUUUCUGGAGCCUGGGGAUCAGAGUUGUAGUGAACUGAGACUGUGCCACUGCACUCCAGCCUGGGUGAUGGAGCAAGACCCUGUCACAAAAAGCAAACGAACAAUCAAAACCCCAACUUGAAUUUUCCACUGUGUGCCUGACAGCUUCCCAAAACUUCGAACUUUUCUGAUGCUAUUUGUAGUGAUAUUAAUAUAUGUAAUCUUUGGGGAUAUUAUGUAAUACAAUAUGUCAACAUCUGAAAGAUCUGAGUAGCUCAGUGAACUUCCAAAUGACCAAUGCAUGGUGUCACAUAAUCGUAUGUGUAUUCACAGUGAAAUAUAGUCCAAUGGAGUUUAAAGUAACAGAGAAGGAAAAGUUCAUUGAUAAUGAAUUUGAUUCUGUUUGCAAUUAAUCUUUUUUAAAAACUACCACUUGUUGA